Molecule: ribosomal RNA, 305 nt
Filed under: uncultured bacterium
Lineage: Bacteria
Description: partial 16S ribosomal RNA
Rfam family: Bacterial small subunit ribosomal RNA
Source: RNAcentral
ACAGCAGUAGCCGCGGUAAUACGUAGGGUGCGAGCGUUAAUCGGAAUUACUGGGCGUAAAGCGUGCGCAGGCGGUUUUGUAAGACAGGCGUGAAAUCCCCGGGCUCAACCUGGGAAUGGCGCUUGUGACUGCAAAGCUAGAGUGCGGCAGAGGGGGAUGGAAUUCCGCGUGUAGCAGUGAAAUGCGUAGAUAUGCGGAGGAACACCGAUGGCGAAGGCAAUCCCCUGGGCCUGCACUGACGCUCAUGCACGAAAGCGUGGGGAGCAAACAGGAUUAGAGACCCCCGUAGUCCCUGUCUCUUAUAC